Molecule: long non-coding RNA, 673 nt
Organism: Lutra lutra (Eurasian river otter)
Lineage: Eukaryota; Metazoa; Chordata; Mammalia; Carnivora; Mustelidae
Exons: 3
Source: RefSeq, a predicted model, not a curated record
GCGGCCGGAGCUGGGAGGAGCGCGGCGCGGGCUCGCCUGGACGGCGGGGCCCCGGCUUUGGGGUGGUGGUGGGGGACGGUUCGUGCCGGCCGCGUAGGACCGAGCCGCGGGGACGGAGCGACCAGCCGGCUUCCGGGAACUAUCGAGCUGGGGGCUGGCGGAGCUGGGACACCGCCCCGGGGUUGCGCCCCUGGGGGCGGGGGGCGGCGAGACCCCUCCCCCCUUUGUCUUAGGUACUCGGAGGUGCGGGGCUGCGCGCGCGGGCCCGAGCAAUGAGCACAGCGCCCUGCCCUGAGCGACCCCUUAAAGUGCCCCGGCUUUGAUUGCAACCCCGGUGCACGGGGGAGUGGGAAAGGGAGUGAUGAGCGGAGAGACAAAGCGUAACUGCCAUUAUUAAGCACCCAGGCUGGCCGGGCGCGAUCACCACCCUUUUUUCUCGAGGUGGCCGCCGAGGCACACGGGACACAAAGCAGGUGCCCUAGGACGGUGGAAGAGGCAGGGCCGGGAUGGGAACCUGGGACUUUUGGCUCUUGGCCCAGUGCGCCAGGCUGAGGAAAACGUGUACUCGAACCGGGCUUUGAAAACCGGGAAGGGUUUGGUCCACCUCCUAGCAAAUUGUUUGGAAUGAACGUGAGAAAUGUUUGAAUUUUCAUCUCUCCCUCCAGGCUGAAGA